Molecule: long non-coding RNA, 278 nt
Organism: Tarenaya hassleriana
Lineage: Eukaryota; Viridiplantae; Streptophyta; Magnoliopsida; Brassicales; Cleomaceae
Exons: 3
Source: RefSeq, a predicted model, not a curated record
GCAUCAUGUGGCCCUCGCAUGAGAUUCCCGCUUUCCCCCUUUCCUACUCGAUGGCGAGAUAUGAUUGGGACAACAAGAUGGUAUGCGUCGAAGAAGACGAUCUUGCUGGUUUAGAAGAUGCGAGCUCUGAUGCAGAGGAUGAAAGUUAUGAAGUUGGAUUGACUGAUGAUGAAACACCUUAUAGAGGAAGAGCCUGUGGAAAUUCCGAACCAACUCCUUUGAUGGAAGGUGAAGGCAGAUCUUUCAGGGUGCUGGGUUUUAACCGAACUCAAAGGGCC